AUGGGUAAAAGAUUUGACUUUUUCCGAGCUCGGUUGGUCUGGCAAGAAAAGGAGGGUGUGCGUAAAUAUCAUCUGGUAAACUGGAUUGAUGUGUGCCAACCUAGAGAUCAGGGUGGCCUGGGAGCUUCUAAUUUAGAUAUAAAGAAUAUAAGUCUUUUGUGCAAGUGGCUUUGGCGGCUAGAGAACGAGGAAUCAUCUCCUGGCAACUCCCAUUUCUGGAAUGGUUUGAUGGAGGUUAAAGAUAUUUUUUAUAGAUGCUGCCAGAGAGUUGUGGGUGAUGGUCGCAAAACUAGAUUUUGGGAGGAUGUUUGGUUAAGAGACAAACCCCUAUGUUUGGUUUUCCCACGUCUUUACAACUUGACCUUUUGUAGGCAUGUCACGGUCGCGAAGGUGUUUAGCCAGGAUUUUGAUUGCAUCAGAUUUAGGAGAUGUUUGUAUGGGGAGACCCUUGAGAUAUGGAACAAAUUACAUGAUAUGUGUAGUCAGGUGACCUUGUCGGAGGAACCUGACAGAGUUAAAUGGCUUCUUACCUCUUCUGGGAAAUUUUCAGUUAAAUCUUUGUACCAUUAUCUUGUUGCUCGACAACUUGUUUUCCCUUAUAAGUUGCUAUGGAGAAUGAAGAUGCCGUUGAAAAUUAAAGCCUUCUCCUGGUUAGUGAUCAAGAAUAGGAUCCUAACCAAAGAUAACUUAAGUAAAAAAGGGUGGAAAGGUGCUAAGCAUUGUGAGUUUUGUGACAGUAUAGAGAAUGUGGAUCACCUUUUCUUUUCUUGUUCCAUGUCUAGGUUCUUAUGGAGUAUUGUGGGGUGUUCCUUGGGUAACCAAAGAUCCCCAGUGUCUUUCCUUGAUUUAUGCCAGAAUUGGUUGCCUAACUAUAUUGGCAAAGAUAGAGUAGUUGUUAUGCUUGGUGUUGCUGCUUUGCUAUGGUCUAUUUGGAAAACAAGAAAUAAAUCAUGCUUUCAAGGUGUAAUGCCCAAUGAUCCUACUGAUAUUAUUAUGUCUGUUUGCUCCCUUCUGUAUUCAUGGAAAAUUUUGCAGAAAAAAGGACUACAAAACACGCUACAACUAGUCGCUAGAAGGAUUGCCCAGGUGACUCGGGAUGUCUUCAGGAGAGGAUAUGGGUGGGCGCCGUAUGUGAGGAGAAUCUGA
Molecule: ribosomal RNA, 1146 nt
Filed under: Triticum aestivum (bread wheat)
Lineage: Eukaryota; Viridiplantae; Streptophyta; Magnoliopsida; Poales; Poaceae
Description: partial small subunit ribosomal RNA
Source: RNAcentral